RNAcentral lists this ribosomal RNA (489 nucleotides) under uncultured bacterium. Its description in RNAcentral is "bacterial SSU rRNA". It matches the Rfam family "Bacterial small subunit ribosomal RNA", at positions 8 to 518 of the family's 1533-position model. The record is from RNAcentral.
AGAGUUGAUCAUGGCUCAGGACAACGCUGGCGGCAUGCCUAACACAUGCAAGUCGAACGGGGGUAGCAAUACCCUAGUGGCGAACGGGUGAGUAACACAUAAGCAAUCUGCCCUUCACAGGGGGAUAACAGCGGGAAAUUGCUGCUAAUACCGCAUAAGACCACGGUACCGCAUGGUACAGGGGUAAAAACGAAUCAGUGGUGAAGGAUGAGCUCAUGUCCCAUUAGCUAGUUGGUGAGAUAACAGCCCACCAAGGCGACGAUGGGUAGCCGACCUGAGAGGGUGAUCGGCCACACUGGAACUGAGACACGGUCCAGACUCCUACGGGAGGCAGCAGUGGGGAAUAUUGGGCAAUGGAGGAAAAACCUCUUACCCAGCAAUGCCGCGUGAGUGAAGAAGGUCUUCGGAUUGUAAAGCUCUUUGAUUGGGGACGAAGAAAGUGACGGUACCCAAAGAACAAGCCCCGGCUAACUACGUGCCAGCCGCUGC